Molecule: transfer RNA, 108 nt
Filed under: Didymella pomorum
Lineage: Eukaryota; Fungi; Ascomycota; Dothideomycetes; Pleosporales; Didymellaceae
Description: tRNA-Ile
Source: RNAcentral
GUGCUAAUGCCUUCCAGGUGGUAGCGCGCCGUUCUUAUAAGACUCGUCAGAUUCUUAUGACUCAUCUGGGUUAUGCGGAUGCCGUGGGUUCGAACCCCACCAGGUACG